AUGGAGGAUAACAGGACAACGAACUGGGUUGAAACUGGAGGCUUGUUCUCUUUAGUAGUUUUCUGGGCUUCUAGCCUAGGGAAAUUGUGGAUCAGAACCAGCCAAAUGGACUUAUAAGGGAAAUUUGUCCCUGAAAAUCUGCUUACCUCCUCUUGUCUGUGGGUAUAGAAAAGUAAGAUUUAACUGUGGUGCCCAGUGUUGCAUUUUUACUUCUCUGUUUAGCAUGUUGGAAGUGUCUUGGGUAUUCCAGAAGCUCAGGAAGGCUGCUGGCAUGACUCUGGUGACUCCAGAAGUAUUGAGGACCUUUCUAAGGGUUGGGGCCCCUGCCUCUUCUCUGUGUACUGUAGCUUCUGAGUGUAGACUUUGAUGGGCCUGAUGCUGGGUAACUAUGUGCAGCCUCCAACUUGGUCCCUUACCUAAGAUCUUUCUCCUGGCCUGCCCUCCAUGUCGGGGAGCUAUCGUCGUCUUCAAGCUACAGAUGCACAUGUUGAAUGGAGCUCUUCUGGCAUUGCUGUUUCCUGUGGUAAACACUCGGCUGCUCCCCUUUGAAUUGGAGAUUUACUACAUUCAGCAUGUUAUGCUCUACGUGGUACCCAUCUACCUGCUUUGGAAAGGAGGUGCUUACACUCCAGAGCCCCUCAGCAGUUUCCGGUGGGCUCUUCUCUCAACUGGCCUCAUGUUCUUUUAUCACUUCAGCGUCUUGCAGAUC
This 709-nucleotide small RNA is filed under the name Pongo abelii (Sumatran orangutan). RNAcentral's name for it is "processed transcript". The record is from RNAcentral. Lineage: Eukaryota; Metazoa; Chordata; Mammalia; Primates; Hominidae.